Molecule: non-coding RNA, 642 nt
Organism: Pelobates cultripes (western spadefoot toad)
Lineage: Eukaryota; Metazoa; Chordata; Amphibia; Anura; Pelobatidae
Source: the annotation of a GenBank genome assembly
CACACAACGCAUCCCUUACACACAACAAGAAACACACAAUACAUCCCUUACACAAACACUCACUGCUUUCUAUCCCUUACACAAAAACACACUGCUUCCACUACACACAAACACACUGCAUCACCUACACAAACUGGUAUCCCUAUACACUACAUUCCAUAAGCACACACAUUAGAUAGUCUACAGUAACAAAUAACACAUCCCCUACACACUCUACUCCCUGUGAGCGAACUCAUGGGUGGAACAUGUAGGUGGACGUAUGGGUGGGCUUUAUGGGCAUACUCACCGUCAGGCCCUGGGGCCCAGACCUUGAGCUAUGUAAGAGGCCCCCAAAAAUGGAGCUGCUUCCCAGAACAUUGAAUUUUGUGACCACAGUUACAAACAGCCUCCAGAGAUCCUGCUCUACACCAGACCAGUGGAGCCAGACUGCAGCCAGAGCCCAUCACCAUCCUCAUCUGAUUGUAAGUAGGCAAUCUAGUAUAUUAUUAGUGACACUAAUCUCUAUUUUACCUCACAAUAAAUGGACACUAUAGUCCCCAGAACCACUGCAGCUUAAUAAAGUUGUUCUGGUGUCUAUAGUUUGUCCCUGCAGGCUUUUUAAUGUAAGCAUACACUGUGUGCAGCACUGGCACUAGUUCAUAU